This 251-nucleotide ribosomal RNA is filed under the name uncultured bacterium. RNAcentral describes it as "partial 16S ribosomal RNA". It matches the Rfam family "Bacterial small subunit ribosomal RNA", at positions 524 to 773 of the family's 1533-position model. The record is from RNAcentral.
UACGGAGGGUGCAAGCGUUAUCCGGAUUCACUGGGUUUAAAGGGUGCGUAGGUGGGUUUGUAAGUCAGCGGUGAAAAUCUCCGGGCUUAACUCGGAAACUGCCAUUGAUACUAUAGAUCUUGAAUUUUCUGGAGGUAAGCGGAAUAUGUCAUGUAGCGGUGAAAUGCUUAGAUAUGACAUAGAACACCAAUUGCGAAAGGCAGCUUGCUACAGGAAUAUUGACACUGAGGCACGAAAGCGUGGGAUCAAAC